UUGUUGGGAAAGUUCCGGCGGUCUGGGGAUGGACUCGCGGCCUAUCAGCUUGUUGGUGAGGUAGUGGCUCACCCAAGGCUUCGACGGGUAGCCGGCCUGAGAGGGGUGACCGGCCACAUUGGGACUGAGAUACGGCCCAAACUCCUACGGGAGGCAGCAGUGGGGAAUAUUGCACAAUGGACGGAAGUCUGAUGCAGCAACGCCGCGUGCGGGAUGACGGCCUUCGGGUUGUAAACCGCUUUCAUCCAUGACGAAGCGAGAGUGACGGUAGUGGGAGAAGAAGCACCGGCUAACUACGUGCCAGCAGCCGCGGUGAUACGUAGGGUGCGAGCGUUGUCCGGAUUUAUUGGGCGUAAAGAGCUUGUAGGCGGUUUGUUGCGUCGGAAGUGAAAACUCAGGGCUUAACUCUGAGCCUGCUUUCGAUACGGGCAGACUUGAGGAAGGUAGGGGGAGAAUGGAAUUCCUGGUGAAGCGGUGGAAUGCGUAGAUAUCAGGAGGA
This 499-nucleotide ribosomal RNA is filed under the name uncultured bacterium. RNAcentral's name for it is "bacterial SSU rRNA". It matches the Rfam family "Bacterial small subunit ribosomal RNA", at positions 195 to 705 of the family's 1533-position model. The record is from RNAcentral.